RNAcentral lists this ribosomal RNA (602 nucleotides) under Klebsiella pneumoniae. RNAcentral's name for it is "bacterial SSU rRNA". It matches the Rfam family "Bacterial small subunit ribosomal RNA", at positions 75 to 675 of the family's 1533-position model. The record is from RNAcentral. Lineage: Bacteria; Pseudomonadati; Pseudomonadota; Gammaproteobacteria; Enterobacterales; Enterobacteriaceae.
CUUGCUCUCGGGUGACGAGCGGCGGACGGGUGAGUAAUGUCUGGGAAACUGCCUGAUGGAGGGGGAUAACUACUGGAAACGGUAGCUAAUACCGCAUAACGUCGCAAGACCAAAGUGGGGGACCUUCGGGCCUCAUGCCAUCAGAUGUGCCCAGAUGGGAUUAGCUAGUAGGUGGGGUAACGGCUCACCUAGGCGACGAUCCCUAGCUGGUCUGAGAGGAUGACCAGCCACACUGGAACUGAGACACGGUCCAGACUCCUACGGGAGGCAGCAGUGGGGAAUAUUGCACAAUGGGCGCAAGCCUGAUGCAGCCAUGCCGCGUGUGUGAAGAAGGCCUUCGGGUUGUAAAGCACUUUCAGCGGGGAGGAAGGCGGUGAGGUUAAUAACCUUGUCGAUUGACGUUACCCGCAGAAGAAGCACCGGCUAACUCCGUGCCAGCAGCCGCGGUAAUACGGAGGGUGCAAGCGUUAAUCGGAAUUACUGGGCGUAAAGCGCACGCAGGCGGUCUGUCAAGUCGGAUGUGAAAUCCCCGGGCUCAACCUGGGAACUGCAUUCGAAACUGGCAGGCUAGAGUCUUGUAGAGGGGGGUAGAAUUCCAGGUG